Molecule: non-coding RNA, 135 nt
Organism: Triticum aestivum (bread wheat)
Lineage: Eukaryota; Viridiplantae; Streptophyta; Magnoliopsida; Poales; Poaceae
Source: Rfam
UACAUACUCCCUCCGUCCGAAAAUACUUGUCAUCAAAAUGGAUAAAAAGGGAUGUAUGCAGAACUAAUAUACAUCUAGAUACAUCCCCUUUUAUUUAUUUUGAUGACAAGUAUUUCCAGACGAAGGGAGUAACUU